AAAAUCUUUGAUUCUUAAUCUUAUAGUCAAGCAGAAGGGGUCUACGAAAAAAAGAUCAAAAGAAGAGGCUUUAUUCAUACAGGAUACUGAGAAGAAGGCGUUGGAAUCAGAGUGUCAGGAACUGCGGGAACGACUUGACAGAACAGUCUCAGAACUGG
This is a long non-coding RNA of Trachemys scripta elegans, 158 nucleotides long. RefSeq lists it as uncharacterized. NCBI's taxonomy places the organism in Eukaryota, Metazoa, Chordata, Testudines, Emydidae. The transcript has 4 exons. The record is from RefSeq and is a predicted model, not a curated record.